Long non-coding RNA from Diuraphis noxia (Russian wheat aphid), 368 nucleotides. RefSeq lists it as uncharacterized. The record is from RefSeq and is a predicted model, not a curated record. NCBI's taxonomy places the organism in Eukaryota, Metazoa, Arthropoda, Insecta, Hemiptera, Aphididae.
AUCAAUAGAAUAUUACUUUUGAUUAURGGGCACACAUUUUCUCUGCUCACAGAGUAUUAUACUAUAUUAUGUUGAUGAAACUGAGGACAACAAAAAUAUAUGAAUACAAACAAUUAACAAAGAAUCUUAGUGGAACCAAAGAUCAUUGUAGUACAAUGCAUCAAUCGCAACAAUAGUAGUAUAGCGGCGAUUAUUGUCAUCAACAGGAGUAACAUCUAAAUGAACACCUUUCCAUUCAAAAGAAUUUGCAUAUCCACUGUAAUCACUGAAUCUCUCCACACCUAGAACAACUGAGACACUAAUAAUUCAGGACAAAUUAGAAAACGAAUUUCUUCUUGAACACUACCAUGACCAAGAACGCCUCCUCC